GUGGAGCGCAGUUCAUAGUCAGGA
RNAcentral lists this unclassified non-coding RNA (24 nucleotides) under Mus musculus (house mouse). Its description in RNAcentral is "oocyte_clustered_small_RNA11472". Lineage: Eukaryota; Metazoa; Chordata; Mammalia; Rodentia; Muridae. The record is from RNAcentral.